UUGUCUAUUCACUGCAUUCCACAGAUGCAGGGUACGUCAGGUUGAUUGUGGAGAUUUAAUCCACUGCUCCUGAGGCUGCUGGGAGAGAUUUCUCUUUCUCUUCUUUGUUCGCACAGCUCCCGGGGUUCAGCUUUGGAUUUGGCCCCCGCCUGUGCAUGUAGGUCGCCCUCUGGUGUCUGUUCUUCACCCAGACAGGAGGGGGUUAAAGGAGCAGCUGACUGGGGGGCGCUGACUCACUCAGGCUGGGGGGAGGGAGGGAUAUGGAAUGCGGGGCGAGCCUGCGGUGGCAGAGGCCGGCAUGCCAUUGCAACAGCCUGAGGUGUGCCGUGUGUUCUCCUGUGGAAGUUUUCCCUGGAUCACAGGACCCUGGCAGUGGCGGGCUGCACAGUCUCCCGGGAGGGGAGGUGUGGAUAGUGACCUGUGCUUGCACACAGGCUUCUUGGUGGCUGCAGCAGCAGUGUUAGCAUUUCGUGCCCGUCUCUGGUGUCUGCGCUGAUAGCCACGCUCAUGCCUGUGUCUGGAGCUCAUUUAGGCAGUGCUCUGAGUCCCCUCUCCUCGUGCACCCCGAAACGAUGGUGUCUUGCCUCUUAGGCAGGUCCAAACUUUUCUCCGAACUCCCUCCUGGCUAGCUGUGGCGCACUAGCCCCCUUCAGGCUGUGUUCAUGCAGCCAACCCCAGUCCUCUCCCUGCAAUCUGACGUCCAGAGCUCGAGCCUCAGCUCCCAGCCCCCACCCGCCCUGGUGGAUGAGAAGACAAGCCUCUCAGGCUGUCUCUUUACUUUAGGGCAAAAUGAAUCUGGAGUUGCUGUCCAUAAUGAGAGAAUAUAUUUAGCUGGGGAACAUGCAGUUUGGACAAAUGAGCCUCCAGCUUGUGUCCAGUCAGCUUCACCAUCUUAGCGGAGAGGAAGACUCAAACUUAUAAUAAAGACAAUGUCC
Molecule: long non-coding RNA, 935 nt
Organism: Physeter macrocephalus (sperm whale)
Lineage: Eukaryota; Metazoa; Chordata; Mammalia; Artiodactyla; Physeteridae
Exons: 3
Source: RefSeq, a predicted model, not a curated record